This is a long non-coding RNA of Pogona vitticeps (central bearded dragon), 1628 nucleotides long. The record is from Ensembl. NCBI's taxonomy places the organism in Eukaryota, Metazoa, Chordata, Lepidosauria, Squamata, Agamidae.
GCACGGACCUUCGGUGCAACGAUCGCAUGUCUCUGUGUGUGUGUGUUUAGGAAGCUAGCUCAGAGUGGCAUUGUGUGUGUGUGCCCCCCCCUCUCGUGACGGUGCAAGCAAGCCUGUCAACCAGCCCCGAACAGCAACAAGCACAUGGCAGCUUUGCAGAAAAGCACUGCCUCCCUUCUUCCUUCAGGCAUUCCAGUUGCACUUUGUCUCGCCCAGGAUCGGAGCGGCGGGCGAAGGACCAUGUGGUGAAAAGGGAGCCUGGAUUCGUGGACGCGGCGUGACUCUCGUCGACUCCACGCGCGCUUGCCCGGAGAGACAUCGCGCGCCUCCAAGACGGGGCGCGGGGCGGGGGGGGGCGCGCGCAGAUCAAGCUCCAAGUUGGCGGAAGGCAGGAGAGACGGCCGAGCGUCGCCGCAGCAGCAGCAGCAGCCUCGCUUCGCAAAUACUGCCCGCUUCCCCGCCUCCUCCUCGCUCGCUCCCUCGCUGGCCAAGCCCGUCGUCAUAUUUCGAGGGGCGCUCCUUCCAGGCCGUGUGGAUGAGGCGGGCGAUUGAAUUGCUCUUGGAUCGAGCGCGGCACAGUUCUGCAGAACCAGCUCGAUCGCCUUUACCUGCGUUCCUUCGUCGCUGAACGCGUCGCCGCGCUUCGGAGGAAAUUCCGUUCCUUUUAGGAACAAACCGCGGGAAGGGAGAGGGAGCGCGCAGUCCGCCCGUUUCCCCCCCUUGAAUGGUUGUGCUUCGGAAGAAGAGGGGUUUGGGGGCCAGGCACCUUGGCUUUCCUCCUGCUGGAGGAACCCGCGGUUGCGAUCGCUGUGUGCGCCUCGGAGGAAGAGAGGGCGAAGCAGAAGAUCGUGGCCUCGCAGACGCGACCGGAGCUGCCGAGCAAGGAAGAGGUUGGGGAGGGGGAACUCGUCCACCCCUCCCGCUUGAGAAAUGAGUCCUCCGGUAUCUUAAGCCUGCCUUCUCAGCCUCACGCUACCCUAUGGAUCUAACUUAGAGGGCUGGUGCUUUCACGCGGAGUUUCCAUUCCAAUAUGUAAGUUUGCCUCCUUCCCCUGCUGCCUCUCUCCUCGCCCCCCCCCCCGCUCUCGCUCGCAAUAUGGAUUCUCGCCGCCUUGUUUUGCACGUGUGGCGCUCCCGUCCUUAGCAGGUGCCCUUGCCUUUUCCUUCCCUUGCAGUGGCGUGGGCCCCGUGGGGGGAGCUGAGGCUGGAGAGGCCCCAGGCGGUUACCACAGGGACACGUACGACUUCGCGGGGGUUGUACCGAAGCCUGUCUUGUGUUACCCUCGAGAUUUGUAGAUCUCUGGACUGCUUACUGAGAGUAAGGAAUAGGCUUGGGUGAAGAGGGUGCGACAGCUGGAUUUGGGAAAUUGAGACCAGAUCGACAUUUGCUGCCAGGUGCCUUUGUUAUGCUCUUACUCAGAAAUGCUUGGAUUAAAUUUUGAGACCCUCGUGUUGUCUACUCUUCUCUCUCACUAAACUACGUCAGCGUGGAUUUACUUUAAACUGGGACAUAGGGAGUAUUGUGAUUAAAACUUUUGGGGUUACUUGACUGUUUAUACUGGUAAGGUCCUGCUGAUGUAAGUGAUCAGUUUGUGUGGCUUGCUUCUUUUUUGAAUUACAUAAUAACAG